This 248-nucleotide ribosomal RNA is filed under the name uncultured bacterium. Its description in RNAcentral is "partial 16S ribosomal RNA". It matches the Rfam family "Bacterial small subunit ribosomal RNA", at positions 118 to 353 of the family's 1533-position model. The record is from RNAcentral.
UGGGUAACCUGCCUCAAAGAGGGGAAUAGCCUCCCGAAAGGGAGAUUAAUACCGCAUAAUAUGUUUAAAUCGCACGACUUUAACAUCAAAGGAUUUUCUUUUAGAAAUUCCACUUUGAGAUGGACCCGCGGCGCAUUAGCUAGUUGGUGAGGUAACGGCUCACCAAGGCAACGAUGCGUAGCCGACCUGAGAGGGUGAUCGGCCACAUUGGAACUGAGACNCGGUCAGACUCCGUACGGGAGGNAGCG